This 207-nucleotide long non-coding RNA is filed under the name Homo sapiens (human). RNAcentral describes it as "LHRI_LNC1067.1". The record is from RNAcentral. Lineage: Eukaryota; Metazoa; Chordata; Mammalia; Primates; Hominidae.
CCUAAAACCAGAUUCACAACAUAUUUUAUUAUUUGGUAUACAGAAGACACGCAGAUUACACACUUUUCCUACCAUCUUUAACCUCCUAAACUAAUAAUUCAUUCAAAUAAGUACUGGAAACCCUAGUAAAUGUUUUGUAUUUGUGGGUUAGUAAAUGUUUUUUGACUUGCUAAUUCAUGUUAAUAACUAAGUGGAAAAACCAAGGGC